ACACAUGCAGUCGAACGAUGAUGCCCAGCUUGCUGGGUGGAUUAGUGGCGAACGGGUGAGUAACACGUGAGUAACCUGCCCCUGACUCUGGGAUAAGCGUUGGAAACGACGUCUAAUACUGGAUAUGAUCACUGGCCGCAUGGUCUGGUGAUGGAAAGAUUUUUUGGUUGGGGAUGGACUCGCGGCCUAUCAGCUUGUUGGUGAGGUAAUGGCUCACCAAGGCGACGACGGGUAGCCGGCCUGAGAGGGUGACCGGCCACACUGGGACUGAGACACGGCCCAGACUCCUACGGGAGGCAGCAGUGGGGAAUAUUGCACAAUGGGCGAAAGCCUGAUGCAGCAACGCCGCGUGAGGGAUGACGGCCUUCGGGUUGUAAACCUCUUUUAGUAGGGAAGAAGCGAAAGUGACGGUACCUGCAGAAAAAGCACCGGCUAACUACGUGCCAGCAGCCGCGGUAAUACGUAGGGUGCAAGCGUUGUCCGGAAUUAUUGGGCGUAAAGAGCUCGUAGGCGGUUUGUCGCGUCUGCUGUGAAAUCCCGAGGCUCAACCUCGGGCUUGCAGUGGGUACGGGCAGACUAGAGUGCGGUAGGGGAGAUUGGAAUUCCUGGUGUAGCGGUGGAAUGCGCAGAUAUCAGGAGGAACACCGAUGGCGAAGGCAGAUCUCUGGGCCGUAACUGACGCUGAGGAGCGAAAGCAUGGGGAGCGAACAGGAUUAGAUACCCUGGUAGUCCAUGCCGUAAACGUUGGGCGCUAGAUGUAGGGACCUUUCCACGGUUUCUGUGUCGUAGCUAACGCAUUAAGCGCCCCGCCUGGGGAGUACGGCCGCAAGGCUAAAACUCAGAGGAAUUGACGGGGGCCCGCACAAGCGGCGGAGCAUGCGGAUUAAUUCGAUGCAACGCGAAGAACCUUACCAAGGCUUGACAUACACCGGAAACGGCCAGAGAUGGUCGCCCCUUGNGGUCGGUGUACAGUGGUGCAUGGU
This 983-nucleotide ribosomal RNA is filed under the name Curtobacterium flaccumfaciens. RNAcentral describes it as "bacterial SSU rRNA". It matches the Rfam family "Bacterial small subunit ribosomal RNA", at positions 51 to 1049 of the family's 1533-position model. The record is from RNAcentral. Lineage: Bacteria; Bacillati; Actinomycetota; Actinomycetes; Micrococcales; Microbacteriaceae.